Molecule: unclassified non-coding RNA, 374 nt
Filed under: uncultured Actinomycetes bacterium
Lineage: Bacteria; Bacillati; Actinomycetota; Actinomycetes
Description: uncultured actinobacterium contains 16S-23S intergenic spacer region
Source: RNAcentral
UCCGGUUUGUCACCGGCAGUCUCGCAUGAGUCCCCAACUAAAUGCUGGCAACAUGCGACGGGGGUUGCGCUCGUUGCGGGACUUAACCCAACAUCUCACGACACGAGCUGACGACAGCCAUGCACCACCUGUGACCGCCCCCGAAGGACCCCGUGUCUCCACGAGUUUUGCGGCCAUGUCAAACCCAGGUAAGGUUCUUCGCGUUGCAUCGAAUUAAUCCGCAUGCUCCGCUGCUUGUGCGGGCCCCCGUCAAUCCCUUUGAGUUUUAGCCUUGCGGCCGUACUCCCCAGGCGGGGCACUUAAUGCGUUAGCGCCGGCACCCAGGGGGUCGCUCCCCCAGGCACCUAGUGCCCAUCGUUUACGGCGUGGACUAC